Molecule: unclassified non-coding RNA, 164 nt
Filed under: uncultured Lachnellula
Lineage: Eukaryota; Fungi; Ascomycota; Leotiomycetes; Helotiales; Hyaloscyphaceae
Description: sequence contains ITS1
Source: RNAcentral
CAGAGUUCAUGCCCUUACGGGUAGAUCUCCCACCCUUGUAUAAUAUAAUUAUCUGUUGCUUUGGCGGGCCGCGAGCUUAGCUAGCCCGGGUAUUCCCCGGUGCGCCCGCCAAAGGACCCUCAAACUCUGAAUAUUAGUGUCGUCCGAGUACUAUAAAAUAGUUA